GUUGGUAAAGGCAGAAAAAGCUGGAGACCAAUUAGAGACCGUCAAGGAGUCCGCUAAAUACCUGUGUAAACAUUUUUGGUCUGAAAAUGACAAACUACAUGUUGAGAUCCUAGUCGCUGGCUGGGACAAUGUGCAAAAGUGAAAUUUGGGGGAUACACCUUGAUGUUGCUCUAAGAUAAAGUAGCUCCUUGGCGUGUCUUUCCUCUUGUUGUUUUUGUUCUCUUCUCGCUCGGCGUCUUCUCUGCCAAUUUGGGAUUUCGGCUUCAGCACGAUCUGAUAGGUCUUGAAAAUAAACAUCUUUGUUUUUAAACUUAGUCACUGUUCUCGCUAUUAGUGGAAUUGGAUUUGGUGAUUAAUUGGAACAUUAGUGUAAACUUGGCAGAAUUUCAUAAAACUUUAUCCUGGUAAGGUGAAGCUAAGAUAGUAAUAAUCAGUCUAUGCUUUAAGAUUGUUGGAACUUAUAUGGAGGUAACUGUUUUUUGGGUUGUAUAUGAUUUGAUGAAUGUAACCUCUCUUUUUGUUGGCCUUUUUUUAUUAGGAGGGUGCACCUUGUAUUUGGUAUGGUAAUCAUCUCUGUCCAAGUAUUGUGGCGUCACAAAGAGCCAUAGGUCCUGGCAGAGUUUCCACACGCGGUAUUUUGGCCAGACAUAAAAUUGGCAUCAGUGAAAAGGAGGCCAUAGAAUUGGCAGAACAAGCUAUUGUUGAAGUUGCAGUAUGUUGUCACCAAAAAGAAGGUUCCCUUGAUGUAUGGGUCAUUAGAGAUGGGAAGAUCACAAAGAACCAGACGCAACUGAUGACCCAUGUCGCAGAGAAGUAUGGUGUUUCAAUUUAGAAUCUUAAGUAAGAUUCUAUUAGAAUACAUUAUUAAGUCUUUUGUUGCAUGGGGUUUGUUUUACAGGGUUCUUUUUAUUUCUUCAAAAUCUUUAAUGUUACAGUAGAA
RNA transcript from Papaver somniferum (opium poppy), 940 nucleotides. RefSeq lists it as uncharacterized. Lineage: Eukaryota; Viridiplantae; Streptophyta; Magnoliopsida; Ranunculales; Papaveraceae. The record is from RefSeq and is a predicted model, not a curated record. The transcript is spliced from 4 exons.